AGCCGGGUGGUGUAAGGGCAACACAGCGGGUUUUGGUCCCGUUAUUGAGGGUUCGAAUCCUUCCCCGGCUG
Molecule: transfer RNA, 71 nt
Filed under: Spirochaetota bacterium
Lineage: Bacteria; Pseudomonadati; Spirochaetota
Description: tRNA-Gln
Rfam family: tRNA
About the family: Transfer RNA (tRNA) molecules are approximately 80 nucleotides in length. Their secondary structure includes four short double-helical elements and three loops (D, anti-codon, and T loops). Further hydrogen bonds mediate the characteristic L-shaped molecular structure. tRNAs have two regions of fundamental functional importance: the anti-codon, which is responsible for specific mRNA codon recognition, and the 3' end, to which the tRNAs corresponding amino acid is attached (by aminoacyl-tRNA synthetases). tRNAs cope with the degeneracy of the genetic code in two manners: having more than one tRNA (with a specific anti-codon) for a particular amino acid; and 'wobble' base-pairing, i.e. permitting non-standard base-pairing at the 3rd anti-codon position.
Source: RNAcentral